AGCGGCGGACGGGUGAGUAACACGUGGGUAGCCUGCCCAAGAGACUGGGAUAACACCUGGAAACAGAUGCUAAUACCGGAUAACAACACUAGACGCAUGUCUAGAGUUUGAAAGAUGGUUCUGCUAUCACUCUUGGAUGGACCUGCGGUGCAUUAGCUAGUUGGUAAGGUAACGGCUUACCAAGGCAAUGAUGCAUAGCCGAGUUGAGAGACUGAUCGGCCACAUUGGGACUGAGACACGGCCCAAACUCCUACGGGAGGCAGCAGUAGGGAAUCUUCCACAAUGGACGAAAGUCUGAUGGAGCAACGCCGCGUGAGUGAAGAAGGGUUUCGGCUCGUAAAGCUCUGUUGGUAGUGAAGAAAGAUAGAGGUAGUAACUGGCCUUUACUUGACGGUAAUUACUUAGAAAGUCACGGCUAACUACGUGCCAGCAGCCGCGGUAAUACGUAGGUGGCAAGCGUUGUCCGGAUUUAUUGGGCGUAAAGCGAGUGCAGGCGGUUCAAUAAGUCUGAUGUGAAAGCCUUCGGCUCAACCGGAGAAUUGCAUCAGAAACUGUUGAACUUGAGUGCAGAAGAGGAGAGUGGAACUCCAUGUGUAGCGGUGGAAUGCGCAGAUAUAUGGAAGAACACCAGUGGCGAAGGCGGCUCUCUGGUCUGCAACUGACGCUGAGGCUCGAAAGCAUGGAUAGCGAACAGGAUUAGAUACCCUGGUAGUCCAUGCCGUAAACGAUGAGUGCUAAGUGU
This 742-nucleotide ribosomal RNA is filed under the name uncultured bacterium. RNAcentral describes it as "bacterial SSU rRNA". It matches the Rfam family "Bacterial small subunit ribosomal RNA", at positions 94 to 823 of the family's 1533-position model. The record is from RNAcentral.